AAAGGGUGCGUAGGCGGCCUGUUAAGUCAGGGGUGAAAGACGGUAGCUCAACUAUCGCAGUGCCCUUGAUACUGAUGGGCUUGAAUUGACUAGAGGUAGGCGGAAUGUGACAAGUAGCGGUGAAAUGCAUAGAUAUGUCACAGAACACCGAUUGCGAAGGCAGCUUACUAUGGUCUUAUUGACGCUGAGGCACGAAAGCGUGGGGAUCAAACAGGAUUAGAUACCCUGGU
This 230-nucleotide ribosomal RNA is filed under the name uncultured bacterium. Its description in RNAcentral is "partial 16S ribosomal RNA". It matches the Rfam family "Bacterial small subunit ribosomal RNA", at positions 562 to 791 of the family's 1533-position model. The record is from RNAcentral.